RNAcentral lists this long non-coding RNA (568 nucleotides) under Homo sapiens (human). RNAcentral's name for it is "HSALNT0055942". The record is from RNAcentral. Lineage: Eukaryota; Metazoa; Chordata; Mammalia; Primates; Hominidae.
CACAAUUAGACAAGUACAAUUCUACUUUCUAACAUCCACACAAUUCAUUAAUUCAGCAGGACUUUGUUGACCAUACAUUAUGAGGGAAAUAUUUAAUACUAUUUGGAGACUGAUAUAUUUUCCUCUUAUCUAGAGUAAAAUAAAUUAUAAGAAGUGAUGAAAACAACCAUUUAAUUAGACUUAAGUAAGUUUGAAAAGCAACUCUGUGAAUUUAAGUGUUUUUAAUAAUUUCAUAGGUGUCUCAUUCUAUAAACUCAAUGGCUAUUGAGUUAAUCUUCAAGUUAUUUUCCUACGGGCCCUUUUAAGAGAAGGUUGGAAAGAAUGAACCAUGUUUACCAGAGAUGUUUCCCAAGAUGGACAACAGACUGACCAUGUUGAUUCAGAACUAAGUACUAAUAAAAAGGAGUUUAAUAAGAAGUCUAAUAGAAAUCAAAUUGUAUUUAUCAACUUUAAUUCUAUUUUAAUGCACGAGUCCUAACAGCCAAACGACUAAUAUGCUGACAUUUCUUAAUUCAUUUUUUCUGACUGUGCUCCCAAAAGGUGUGUGAAAAUGCAGUUUAUAAAUUAA